This 388-nucleotide ribosomal RNA is filed under the name uncultured eukaryote. Its description in RNAcentral is "SSU rRNA". It matches the Rfam family "Eukaryotic small subunit ribosomal RNA", at positions 587 to 972 of the family's 1831-position model. The record is from RNAcentral.
AGCUCCAAUAGCGUAUAUUAAAGUUGUUGCAGUUAAAAAGCUCGUAGUUGGAUUUCUGGUGUGCUAUGCUCAGUCUGCCAUCGCAAGAUGGUAAGUACCGAUGCGUGGCUACCAUCCUUCUAGAGAACGGGUUGACCCUUCAUUGGGCCCAGCUCGCGAUCUAGAUCUUUUACUUUGAAAAAAUUAGAGUGUUUAAAGCAGGCUUUUGCUAUGAAUACAUUAGCAUGGAAUAAUAAUUUAGGACUUUGGUUCUAUUUUGUUGGUUUCUAGGACUGAAGUAAUGAUUGAUAGGGAUAGUUGGGGGUGCUAGUAUUCAGCGGCCAGAGGUGAAAUUCUUGGAUUCGCUGAAGACUAACUUAUGCGAAAGCAUUCACCAAGGAUGUCUUCU